GACGAACGCUGGCGGCGUGCUUAACACAUGCAAGUCGAACGGAAAGGCCCUGCUUUUGUGGGGUGCUCGAGUGGCGAACGGGUGAGUAACACGUGAGUAACCUGCCCUUGACUUUGGGAUAACUUCAGGAAACUGGGGCUAAUACCGGAUAGGAGCUCCUGCUGCAUGGUGGGGGUUGGAAAGUUUCGGCGGUUGGGGAUGGACUCGCGGCUUAUCAGCUUGUUGGUGGGGUAGUGGCUUACCAAGGCUUUGACGGGUAGCCGGCCUGAGAGGGUGACCGGCCACAUUGGGACUGAGAUACGGCCCAGACUCCUACGGGAGGCAGCAGUGGGGAAUAUUGCACAAUGGGCGGUAGCCUGAUGCAGCAACGCCGCGUGCGGGAUGACGGCCUUCGGGUUGUAAACCGCUUUCGCCUGUGACGAAGCGUGAGUGACGGUAAUGGGGAAAGAAGCACCGGCUAACUACGU
RNAcentral lists this ribosomal RNA (467 nucleotides) under uncultured bacterium. RNAcentral describes it as "partial 16S ribosomal RNA". It matches the Rfam family "Bacterial small subunit ribosomal RNA", at positions 28 to 506 of the family's 1533-position model. The record is from RNAcentral.